RNAcentral lists this ribosomal RNA (553 nucleotides) under uncultured bacterium. RNAcentral describes it as "bacterial SSU rRNA". It matches the Rfam family "Bacterial small subunit ribosomal RNA", at positions 26 to 570 of the family's 1533-position model. The record is from RNAcentral.
GGGAUAACGCUGGCGGUAUGCCAACACAUGCAAGUCGAACGAAAGUUUAUCCCUUCUAGUCGCGGACGGGUGAAGUAUACUGGAGAAUCUACCUUUAAGAAGGGAAUAACAACUUGGAAACGAGUUGCUAAUGCCCUAUAUGCUUAGCGAGUGAAACAGAUUUAUCUGGCCCUGUAAGAUGAGCUCGGCGGCCCUGGAAUUAGCUAGGUUGGGUAGAAGGUAAAAGGCCUACCAAGGGCAACGAUCAGAUAACUGGGUUUGAGAGCGACGAUCAGCACACUGGGACUGAGACACGGGCCAGACUUCAUACGAGAAGAGCGACGACAGUGGGGAAUUUUCCGCACAUGAGCGAAAGCUUGACGGAGCAAUACCUGCGUGAGAGGAAGAAUGCCUGUGGGUUGUAAACCUCUCUUAUUUUAACGAGGAAGAAAACAUAUGACGGUUACCUAACAUGAAUAAGCAAUCGGUCUAACUCCGUCGCCAGCCAGCGCAGGUCAAUACGGGAGGGGAUGGCAAAGCGUUUAUCCGGGAAUUACUGGGCGUACAUGCGUCC